AUUGAACGCUGGCGGCAUGCCUUACACAUGCAAGUCGAACGGCAGCACGGGAGCUUGCUCCUGGUGGCGAGUGGCGAACGGGUGAGUAAUACAUCGGAACGUACCCAGGAGUGGGGGAUAACGUAGCGAAAGUUACGCUAAUACCGCAUAUUCUGUGAGCAGGAAAGCGGGGGAUCGCAAGACCUCGCGCUCUUGGAGCGGCCGAUGUCGGAUUGGCUAGUUGGCGAGGUAAAAGCUCACCAAGGCGACGAUCCGUAGCAGGUCUGAGAGGAGGAUCUGCCACACUGGGACUGAGACACGGCCCAGACUCCUACGGGAGGCAGCAGUGGGGAAUUUUGGACAAUGGGGGCAACACUGAUCCAGCCAUGCCGCGUGAGUGAAGAAGGCCUUCGGGUUGUAAAGCUCUUUCGGCGGGGAAGAAAUGGCAACGGCUAAUAUCCGUUGUUGAUGACGGUACCCGCAUAAGAAGCACCGGCUAACUACGUGCCAGCAGCCGCGGUAA
Molecule: ribosomal RNA, 502 nt
Filed under: uncultured bacterium
Lineage: Bacteria
Description: partial 16S ribosomal RNA
Rfam family: Bacterial small subunit ribosomal RNA
Source: RNAcentral